GUGCCAGCAGCCGCGGUAAUACGAAUGGGGCAAGCGUUGUUCGGAUUUACUGGGCGUAAAGCGGGCGUAGGCGGCCGGCUAAGUCGGAUGUGAAAUCCCGGGGCUCAACUCCGGAACUGCAUUCGAUACUGGUCGGCUAGAGUUCGAGAGGGGGAUGCGGAAUUCCGCGUGUAGCAGUGAAAUGCGUAGAUAUGCGGAGGAACACCUGAGGCGAAGGCGGCAUCCUGGAUCGACACUGACGCUGAGGCCCGAAAGCGUGGGGAGCAAACAGGAUUAGAUACCCUGGUAGUCCACGCCCUAAACGAUGUCUACUAGCCGUUGCGGGUAUCGACCCCUGCAGUGGCGCAGCUAACGCGUUAAGCAUCCCGCCUGGGGAGUACGGCCGCAAGGUUGAAACUCAAAUGAAUUGACGGGG
RNAcentral lists this ribosomal RNA (415 nucleotides) under uncultured prokaryote. RNAcentral's name for it is "bacterial SSU rRNA". It matches the Rfam family "Bacterial small subunit ribosomal RNA", at positions 505 to 918 of the family's 1533-position model. The record is from RNAcentral.